Molecule: small RNA, 94 nt
Filed under: Pelobates cultripes (western spadefoot toad)
Lineage: Eukaryota; Metazoa; Chordata; Amphibia; Anura; Pelobatidae
Source: RNAcentral
GCGGGGCCCCCCCGAGAUCUUUACCUGUGCUCUGACUUUGCUAAGGGCUAUGUAUAGCAAUGUCAGAGCACAGGUAAAGAUCUCGGGGGCCCCG